Non-coding RNA from Gasterosteus aculeatus aculeatus (three-spined stickleback), 4156 nucleotides. The record is from RefSeq and is a predicted model, not a curated record. Lineage: Eukaryota; Metazoa; Chordata; Actinopteri; Perciformes; Gasterosteidae.
CCCCCCCCCACUCGGUAUUUUGGAGGAUUCUUUCGGGGGGGGUCCAAACAUGCAGUGUACUAUGAGACUUUGUGAGAGUAGUAUUGUUUUUUAUAUGAUAUAUGCAGCAUGCUAUGCAGAUUCGUAUGUACCCACAAUUGGAGACAUCUGAUUGUAGUAGUUAUUUAGUUGAUUUGUUGUUUUACAGGUUUGCUUUGGCAUCCUUAAAUGUUAAGCUAGAAAGUAUCUGCACUUAAUUUGGAUGCACCCUGUGCACUUAACUUCAUAAGUUACAUAAUUGCUAUGAUGCCAUCGAUCCACACAAAAUGACACAUCUUUUUGUUGCCAUUACUUUUUCAUGGCAGCAUGACUCUCCGAAGCGGGUAAAGUUCCAUAUAAUAUUUAGCAGAUAAAUCAAGAGCUGCUGAAAUCUACUGUGGAUGACGGUGCCUCCACUCAGCAGCAAUAUGUGUGUGUGUGUGUUUUCAGGGCACGCAUGUGCUUUUGAAAUGUGAGUAGCCUCCCUACAAACCCAUAUUACUACAUACAACCCCCUGUGCAUUUCCAACCAGUAAAUAAUUCAUGAAGUGGAUCCACUUUUGACAGUCACUGGCAUCCGGGUCACGGCGAACCCUUCUGACAUCACCUCUACACCGACGAGGAUGCAGAUGAUAGUUCAAUAACUAGUGAUUGUAUGAACCAGAAAAGUGGCCGAAUUUACGAGAGUAAAUAUCAAGAGGGGUAACAAAUCCCUUCAUCCAUGCUGGUGGACGUCUGCGGCUUCAAGAGUCACACUGAGACAGCUCAGGGUUGAGGGACUACAGUUGAUGGAGGACUCAGACUCUGCAGGUUUUCACUCUUUCAUAUGACUGGUCUAUCAAAGCGUGGAAUCCGAUGCCUCUUCCGAAACGGAAUGAAGAUCUGGCCCCUUCUUGCUUUGGGCGCAUACAUAUUAUCUCUGUGUGUGAAGGACACUAAAUGCUUCUCUUCUGCUCAUCUGUAUUUUUGGAUCAGAGUAUUUCACCACGUAGGAACGUUCCUUUUUGAAAAGAAGGACGACAGAAGAACAAAAAGAAAAGCCAUCCGCUGUCGAAAGCUUUGAGCUGGAGCGUCUGCAUUUGUAGUCCCUUCGAGCAACUCGUCGCCACUCUAAUUUUCUCUCGACACAACACAGCAGUCACUCAGAGACUGAGUGGAUACUCUCAUGUUGACACAGUGCCAGGAGGUGGUGGGCUUACGCGAGCGCCCAACAGCAGCACAAAGUUGUACGAGGCGGCUAAGGGGAGAAACCUGGCUUUGAAAACGGCGCAUGCAUUAUCUUUUAUUUUCUCAAAGCUGCAACAACUCCCGUCCCGUCUUUCACUCUCUGCCAGAACAUUAAUGAUCCAAAAAAAAGCGGUUGUUUUAUUCGGUGUGAUUGUGUAAAAACAGAAGCAUCUGCAGAGGCUUCCACAGGCUGACUGUGGCCAUAUUUGUGACUCUAUAGACACCGGGUGGGUGAGGAAGAGGAAAGAAAAGGAUAUUACUUUAUAUCAUCAUUAUAGACAGAAAGCAAUGAGCAUCCUAAAGCAGACUGCCAACUACAGAAGGGAAAAAUACAGUAACACGCUGCAGUGUGCGCACUCAGAGGGGGAAUUUCAAUAGAGCUUAUAUGGAUUUAGCUCACUGCCUCGCUCAUUGACUCUCUGCUUCAUGCACACAAGGUUGUUUCUUUAGCUGGGACAAGGCAAAAUCUUCUAUUUUGAGAAAAACACACAAAAACAUGACGACCACCCGACGUCUGGUGAGACAAUUAAAACGUUGAAAUGGAAUAGACAGCAGUUGGUAACCCGGGAGUGUGGUGGACUGGAACAGCAGUUAAACAUCAGUUUCAAACACGUGCACACGCACAAAUGCAUCACACACGCAGGAUAAAUUAAUUAGACUGGAUGGCUUUAGGGAAUUGCCAACUAAAUCACAUCGGCUUUUUUCUCCAAGCUCACAAUGUGAGUUAAUUAUGUAGAGAAACUGGUGAUGGUAGAGUACACCUGCAGAAAGAACCACUCCAUCGCACACACACUUCCCAGUCGGUGGCUCAGCAGAACAGCUGGCUUAACUUUGUCCAAAAACCUCCCAACACCACUAACUAUUAUGUCUGUAUUCAGCUUGUGUAAAACACCUUCAAAUAAUUCACAGGCUAAAUGUUACCCUCUAUAAUCCUGAUUCUUCAGUUUUCAGAAGCCUUGGUGGGCUUGACCCGUGUUUAUGGUCUUGUCGUGCUAAGAUAACCUCAUAUAUUUCCAUAUACUUACAUCAAUCUUCAAAGAGUUUGAACUACGUUUAUGUAUUGGGUUGGACUUUUGCUCCUUGGUCAGCUGCAGGCCGCCACCACGUGCAGUUUGAUCACCAUCCUCAUCUCUCUCCUCCGUGCUGCACCACGCCUUCGCCUCGAAGAAGCUUCGAGUCCACGCUCUUUGAUUUCCCGGGGAGGGCUUCUGGGAUUAGCUAAAUUACUCUGCAGUUAGUUUUUAAAUCACACAAUGCCUCCCAAAAAUAGUAUCCUCUCAGCUAAUGCCUAAUCGUUGCACUCGAGCAGUGACGGCUUAGCCAAGUCUGCGAGACAGGAGUCAGCCUGGUCAUUGCUGUGACUCAUUUGUUGGAUGUUAGUGGCCAUCAUCAUCUGAAAAUGAAAAAUGACUGGAAUAGGACAGUUGUAACGAUAAUCCCAUCACUAUCUCCAAACCAAUUUCUUCGCCAGCUCAUCGGCUCAUGAGUACUGGGAGAGAUCCCGGGCCACAAAGUUUCUUUAAAGCACCACAGCUUGGUAGAAAAUCACUCAUUCUAGCUCAGGAAUAAUUAGUCCUAAUCUUGGGGCGUUUCCAACGGAGAUUUAAUGAACGAGGCCAAUUCAUCUUUGUCGCGGACAAUCUGUUAAUUAUAUUAAAUCUUGUGAUUAGAUUUUCCUCAGUUGUCUCCUUUGUAAUCAUCAAGCAGCGACCAGACUUCAUCAUUACAGGCAGUUACACCAGUGGACCACUAGAGGGAACUAGACACUGUGAAACGCUACUGGCAGCUGAGGCUUGUGAUCUGAAACUAGGAGGACAAAACAACUGAACACAACUUCCCAGAGGAGGAGGAGACAUCUUAUGAUCAGCACAUGUGCUAAUGGAUGCUAUAUUUGGCAUGGAGUAGCUUUCCUGUGAAGACUUUCCAAGUAAUAUACUGGAUUGAUUGUCUAAAGAAAACAUGUCUGACGAAUUAUUAAGCAGAGCGGGGUAGUUAGGAGACUCUUUGAACAAUUUCUGCAGGGCAUUUAUUGAGAAUCUUUUGUCUACGAAGGCACUAAAGAACUGGCCCUCGACAGUUUUCAGGUUCUAUUCCAGACGUUGGACAAAAGCUGCUUGCUGUACUUCUGUAAAUAAAAUGGGAUAUUUGGCAUCGCUGAAACACGUAUUCAAAAGCAUGUGUUUUUCCCCACAUGUAGGUGUAAUGCAGUUCAUCUUUACUACCAUAUCUUUGACACAAAAAAGAAUACUAGUUUGUUGCAUAAGCUGCCAUAGUUUUACCACAGCAGCUCUUUUAUUAGCAAAAUCAUGGAGAUUAGUCCACUAAUGUGCCCAUCCAAUGGAAACAGAGGGUUGGGGGGGUCCAGGGGCGGGGGGGGAUAUGUAACUUGAAACCAUCACACAUCACGAUCAUCAGCAGUGCACCUAGACAUGACGGUCUGUCUGUGCACUGAACACGGAUCUACACGUGGUCCUACCAUUUGCUACAAGGCCGCCAUUGGCAUCCUCUUUUCAAAGCUUCUCUUUGCUUCUGGACUCAAUAAAGGAAUGUUACAGUUUGUCGAGGCGCACCAACACCGCGCACUCGUUAAUUUACAGAGUAGCUUCUUUUUGGUUGCUUAGAAAAAUAAAACUUUGAAAGAGGAUGACAAGUAGAGGAAUAAAGUCCCUUUGUUUUUCCAUUGUGCACACGUUCUCUCGCUCUCUCUCUCUCUAACACACGCAAUCUCACACACACAAUCACUCGCGCCGGCUUUUGGCCUAAAAUCGAAUCGAAGCUCCAACUUUCAUGCAAAUCUCACAUCCGAAAAGUUUUCCCACACGCCUCUCACAGUAUGUCAGAGUGAAUUGGUCUACAGAGUGACUUGGUCUUGUUUGGUUUGUCUAAGGACGCAAAAAAAAAAAAAAAAUUA